This 1777-nucleotide ribosomal RNA is filed under the name Pseudomonas aeruginosa. RNAcentral's name for it is "bacterial LSU rRNA". It matches the Rfam family "Bacterial large subunit ribosomal RNA", at positions 1120 to 2879 of the family's 2925-position model. Lineage: Bacteria; Pseudomonadati; Pseudomonadota; Gammaproteobacteria; Pseudomonadales; Pseudomonadaceae. The record is from RNAcentral.
CCUUUAAAGAAAGCGUAAUAGCUCACUAGUCGAGUCGGCCUGCGCGGAAGAUGUAACGGGGCUCAAACCACACACCGAAGCUGCGGGUGUCACGUAAGUGACGCGGUAGAGGAGCGUUCUGUAAGCCUGUGAAGGUGAGUUGAGAAGCUUGCUGGAGGUAUCAGAAGUGCGAAUGCUGACAUGAGUAACGACAAUGGGUGUGAAAAACACCCACGCCGAAAGACCAAGGGUUCCUGCGCAACGUUAAUCGACGCAGGGUUAGUCGGUUCCUAAGGCGAGGCUGAAAAGCGUAGUCGAUGGGAAACAGGUUAAUAUUCCUGUACUUCUGGUUACUGCGAUGGAGGGACGGAGAAGGCUAGGCCAGCUUGGCGUUGGUUGUCCAAGUUUAAGGUGGUAGGCUGAAAUCUUAGGUAAAUCCGGGGUUUCAAGGCCGAGAGCUGAUGACGAGUCGUCUUUUAGAUGACGAAGUGGUUGAUGCCAUGCUUCCAAGAAAAGCUUCUAAGCUUCAGGUAACCAGGAACCGUACCCCAAACCGACACAGGUGGUCGGGUAGAGAAUACCAAGGCGCUUGAGAGAACUCGGGUGAAGGAACUAGGCAAAAUGGCACCGUAACUUCGGGAGAAGGUGCGCCGGCUAGGGUGAAGGAUUUACUCCGUAAGCUCUGGCUGGUCGAAGAUACCAGGCCGCUGCGACUGUUUAUUAAAAACACAGCACUCUGCAAACACGAAAGUGGACGUAUAGGGUGUGACGCCUGCCCGGUGCCGGAAGGUUAAUUGAUGGGGUUAGCGCAAGCGAAGCUCUUGAUCGAAGCCCCGGUAAACGGCGGCCGUAACUAUAACGGUCCUAAGGUAGCGAAAUUCCUUGUCGGGUAAGUUCCGACCUGCACGAAUGGCGUAACGAUGGCGGCGCUGUCUCCACCCGAGACUCAGUGAAAUUGAAAUCGCUGUGAAGAUGCAGUGUAUCCGCGGCUAGACGGAAAGACCCCGUGAACCUUUACUGUAGCUUUGCACUGGACUUUGAGCCUGCUUGUGUAGGAUAGGUGGGAGGCUUUGAAGCGUGGACGCCAGUUCGCGUGGAGCCAUCCUUGAAAUACCACCCUGGCAUGCUUGAGGUUCUAACUCUGGUCCGUGAUCCGGAUCGAGGACAGUGUAUGGUGGGCAGUUUGACUGGGGCGGUCUCCUCCUAAAGAGUAACGGAGGAGUACGAAGGUGCGCUCAGACCGGUCGGAAAUCGGUCGCAGAGUAUAAAGGCAAAAGCGCGCUUGACUGCGAGACAGACACGUCGAGCAGGUACGAAAGUAGGUCUUAGUGAUCCGGUGGUUCUGUAUGGAAGGGCCAUCGCUCAACGGAUAAAAGGUACUCCGGGGAUAACAGGCUGAUACCGCCCAAGAGUUCAUAUCGACGGCGGUGUUUGGCACCUCGAUGUCGGCUCAUCACAUCCUGGGGCUGAAGCCGGUCCCAAGGGUAUGGCUGUUCGCCAUUUAAAGUGGUACGCGAGCUGGGUUUAGAACGUCGUGAGACAGUUCGGUCCCUAUCUGCCGUGGACGUUUGAGAUUUGAGAGGGGCUGCUCCUAGUACGAGAGGACCGGAGUGGACGAACCUCUGGUGUUCCGGUUGUCACGCCAGUGGCAUUGCCGGGUAGCUAUGUUCGGAAAAGAUAACCGCUGAAAGCAUCUAAGCGGGAAACUUGCCUCAAGAUGAGAUCUCACUGGGAACUUGAUUCCCCUGAAGGGCCGUCGAAGACUACGACGUUGAUAGGCUGGGUGUGUAAGCGUUGU